This is a long non-coding RNA of Priapulus caudatus, 316 nucleotides long. RefSeq lists it as uncharacterized. NCBI's taxonomy places the organism in Eukaryota, Metazoa, Priapulida, Priapulimorpha, Priapulimorphida, Priapulidae. The transcript is spliced from 3 exons. The record is from RefSeq and is a predicted model, not a curated record.
GCGAAAUGUUUAUAUACAUCAAGGAGAUAUUUGCGUCUGGUUCACAUGACAUCACUUCUUAGCUAGCGAGUUGAUGGUAGAUCGUGACCAAGGGCUGAGACAUCCAGAUGCAUUACACCUGACCAGACUUUGGAAACACUGAAACAGGACUACUUGCCGGUCACUCAGUGCUGCGAUCCGUCCACGCGCAGCGAGGCGCGUGCCAGUGCGCCGCCGUACGACCACACUGCGACUGCACCGCGCAGUUAAACGACGCCCCGCUCGAGAAACUCCCCCCUCCUAGCGAGAAACCCCGCCGCGCAGACGUGACGACGGA